RNAcentral lists this ribosomal RNA (71 nucleotides) under Erythrobacter sp. HI0077. Its description in RNAcentral is "partial 16S ribosomal RNA". It matches the Rfam family "Bacterial small subunit ribosomal RNA", at positions 1 to 70 of the family's 1533-position model. Lineage: Bacteria; Pseudomonadati; Pseudomonadota; Alphaproteobacteria; Sphingomonadales; Erythrobacteraceae. The record is from RNAcentral.
CAAACUUGAGAGUUUGAUCCUGGCUCAGAACGAACGCUGGCGGCAUGCCUAACACAUGCAAGUCGAACGAA